GCACUUUGGUCCCUUGCGAAUUGGGAAAUUAACCCACAGUCGUUGCCCCAGAGAGGAAUGUGCUAGACGAGAGAAAGGUGCGAGACGAGAGCUAGGGUUCCGCCGCCAGCAAUCCUUUCUCUUCCCCCCGGGCGGCCGCCGCUGGACUUCAUCGCUCCACCACGUGCACCCGCACCACCACCUUCCUCGCGCGGCCGUACGUGCUGGAGGCCGUCCGAGUUGCGCCAGUGCCUCGAGGAAGGGUCACCGCCGCCAGACCAGAUCGAAGAGGAGUGGCUCCACGGGAACGACACCAUCGGCAGCCCCUACGCAUCCUCAGUCUGCGCCCGCGCCGGCGAAAUCAGCCGCGGCGCCACCUUGUUCCUGCGCCGCCGCGUCCCCCGACUUCAUCUCCUUGGUCUCCUCCCUCAAGUCCUGCCUCGCAUCUCAGAGGCCCUCACCUGGUGGGCAACAUCGCGGAUGCCAUCGCCUGUCUCCACCCCUCGAUGCCUCCCGUAUCUCCGUCGUCCUUCGCCUUCCGGAGGCCUGCUCCGUCUGGGCGGGGUGAAGAAGUGACAGGGCUACAUCGAUUACAGUGCAGCGAUCAGGGGCAUUGGAGCAGGCACGCCAACCACCAACAAGCAGCAAUAACAGGGAAGGUACAAGGGUUAUUGAGAGCACAAAGGAUGCAGAAAGAAAGGGGUGGCAUGGUAAUUUUAAGCCAUUUCUGUGAGGCUCUGUUCACUGAUGUAAUAAUUUUCUCUCCCGGAGAUAUAUUUUCCACAAGAAUCAAGCAAGUUCAGAUAUUAUAUCUGACCGCUGAAUACUACCUACCCCAACAUGCAACAGAUUCAAGGUGGUUUGCUGAGAACAUGGGUUUUAGGAUCAUCCUGAGCAAACUAGGACAUGAAGAAGCCUCCAGUGGUGUCUAGCUGAGAUUAAGUGGUUUGUGCCAUUCCCCAAUCUGCAGAACAUUGCAGUCGACUUAUAAUUGCUUCAAGGUAAAGUCUGGUUUUAGACAAGAUCAAUGCGGAGAAACUAGCCACCGGUUCUUGAGCGAUGCACUACUGUGAAGGGAGAUCAGAUAAUAGGCAUGUGUUCUUAAUUUGGCCGAAAUUCGGCAGCUCUUAUUACAUCGCAUUUUGUCAUAGCAUUGCUCCAGGAUAAUUUGCAGAGUUCCAAGGUAAAAUAAGAACUGAAAAUAUAUGAUGUAAAUCUUAGGAAUUGACCUAGAUAGAUAUAUCUCUUUUAGAAGUGGGCAGCCUUUUUGUUUGAUGGUGUUUGAUUAAGGGAUAUCUUUAAAGUUUAAACUGAUAUACGUUUUCUUAAAGUUUAACUCAAUUUUGUAGUUUAAAUGUCUUUUAAUUACCAGAAUAUAUGAAAGUUUAAAUGCCAAAGCUAGGUUUUGUUUCUAAGUGCAAGGUCCAGCUUUCAGCAACAACAGAGCAAUGCUUAUGUUUGAAUGCCACUAUUUCUUUGUUGUUUCUCUUCAAUAGUACACCUUAGCGCAGGACCGUGAGGUGCUGCUCCGCGCGACGUCCGCGACCACAGUACGUCCCUCUCGUCGCUCGACGGCGCGAGGUCCUCGCUUGGCAGCUUAUGAUACCUGGAGUAUUAUUUUCCUCUCAGUAUGAGUCGUUGCCAAAGUAGUCAUGGAAACCAGCAGCCCUUGCAGUUGUUGACCACCACGGCGAGCAGCAUCACUGCGCCGUUCGCAAACAAGAAUGGCAUGCUGCCGGACGUCCGUGCUCUUCUUCCAUGUGGCCCGUCUUCCGCUGCUGGAUGUACAAGCUAUAGACGAAUUGAUUCAUGCCACGCUUCGAUACUCUCUCCUUCUGUAUGUCAACUUCAGUCAGAAAUACAUAUUGAGAUGAGUUCUUGCAUCUUAGGUUAAUGAACCUUGCUAUACAUAAGGCACUUCCGAUCAAAGCAGGCCAUGUGAUUCUCUCAUGUGUGGUAAUGCUUUGGAACGUCCUGAAUAAAUUAAGAAAUGGAGUACUCCUAUACUCUUUGAGCGACCAGUUCAUAGAGAUGAUCGAGGACGUCUCCAUGAUGUUACAUUGCUGCUAUGGACAAAUGCAGAAUUGUUGUUGAUGAAAGAUGCCAGAGUUUGCUUGAUGCUCAGAAAAUAAUAUAUGGAAAUCUUGCUCAUGUUAUUAACAUUAAACGGGAGAAGUUAGGGUUCUUAGAGGCCUCGAAGUAAUUAUUGCUGCAAGAAUAGCCAGUAUUGCACUUAUGACUAGGACUUUCAUGGACUAGGCUGAUCAUCCAGCUGUUGGGAUUUGGGUUUUUUCAGUUUGGUUAAGUGUGAAGAUUUAAGUUACAUGUUAAAAAUAUGAAGUAUCAAGUUUUUUUGCAACUAGAGGCAAUGCCACUCAGAAGUUCAAACUGAAAAUGAUGGUACAAUGUUUUAGGCCUGAUAUGACAAUAAGGUGCUAAAAUGAAUCAUCCACUGCCGCGGUAGCAAUUUUAUUGACCUGGACACACCUCUUGUAUUGUCUAAAGAUCUAGCUUCCGGUGACUACGAAGGUAUUCUUCAACAAAAUCUUGUAAAGCUGUAAAGCUGCAAUUUCCUCCAAAGAUACAGUUCUAUUUCGAGUGUUAUUAAAUAUGAGACAUGUUUUUGUCCAAGAUUUCAUUUAGAAGA
Lolium perenne is the source of this 2626-nucleotide non-coding RNA. Lineage: Eukaryota; Viridiplantae; Streptophyta; Magnoliopsida; Poales; Poaceae. The record is from RefSeq and is a predicted model, not a curated record.